AUAGCUACUUGCAUCAUUGAAAAUAUGAUGCAAGAUCGACUAUGUCGAAUAAAAUUCUAGGUAGAAUUAUGAUAAUGACAUUGUCUGCCUAUGUGUCUUGACCAAAUUACGUGCCAGCAGUCGCGGUAAUACGUAGAAGACUAGUGUUAUUCAUGUUUAAUCGGUUUAAAGGGUACCUAGACGGUAAAUCAAGCCUAAAAGGAAGGAAAUAAAGGGACUAAUUUACUAGAGUUACUUAUGAGGGGGUAUUAAAGUACUGCUGGUGUAGAGAUGAAAUUCUGUCAUACCUCUUUUCAAUAGAAAAAUAAUGGCACAGGUAUAGGCGAAAGCAUCCCCUUAUGUGAUAACUGACGUUGAGGGACGAAGGCUUUGUGUAGCGAACAGGAUUAGAUACCCCAGUAGUCAAAGCAGAAAAUGAUGAAUGUCAUAGAUUAGAUAUAUAAGUUUAUUCUAUAAAUGAAAGUGUAAGCAUUCCACCUCAAGAGUAAUUUGGCAACAUUGGAACUGAAAUCAUUAGACCGUUUCUGAAACCAGUAGUGAAGUAUGUUGUUUAAUUUGAUAAUCCGCAAAAAACCUUACCACCAAUUUGAAUAUUUAUAUUUUUUUUAUUGUUUUUCUUUUUAAUUUUCUUCCGAUUUUCUAGUUAAAGGAAAAUUAGAAGAAAAAGAAAAAAGAGGCAAUAAGA
Molecule: ribosomal RNA, 685 nt
Filed under: Melanelia agnata
Lineage: Eukaryota; Fungi; Ascomycota; Lecanoromycetes; Lecanorales; Parmeliaceae
Description: SSU rRNA
Rfam family: Bacterial small subunit ribosomal RNA
Source: RNAcentral